AGUAAGUGAGACAGUCACCAAAGAGGUUUUUUCGCUUAUCUGCUUGUCCUUAGCUUUUCACUCGCCACAUAUGCUCAUCCACCGCAUUUUUCUCUUCGUCUGUACAGCGGCACUGACAAUACUACCUACCUAUUCAACAUCAUAACCUCAAGUGAUAAUCGACAUUACUCCUGGAAUGAACGCAACGAUCCUCCAGCUCGUGCGUUAUAAGAGGAGACAGAGCGCCAAUAUACUAUUCUACUUUUCCCAAUAGUCAACUCGAACAAGCAUUUUGAAUGCUCCAGUAUGUUACGGAUGGUAUAUUGUUCGACCCUGAAGACAUAACGAUCGCACUGUGACAGGGUGGGAUUUCACCACUGAUGUAGAGUCGAUCUUCUUCGACCAUCUUGAUCAACGGGCCGCUUCCAAGACAGACAGCAACGACGAACUACGACAACAGCCUCCAUGCCAACGGUUCUAGGGGAGCAAAUGCCAACAUCUUCUGGUCUUCCGCCUUCAAUACCUUCUCAAAACGAGCUAAGGAAAGCACGGCCACUAGUCCAUCUACAGGCGCCCACGUUCUGCGUACAUAAAGGCGCCAGGACAUCUAAUCCGAGUGUGGCAGUGUUCGAAGCACGGGCACAGCAAAAGAGCUACAGUAAUCAACGGACAUCUAGGAUCUACACUUUCAAAGAAAAGAUUGCCAAAUUGAAAGCGGAAAACGUCACAACUUUACAGGAAACCGUUGCUUAGCAGCCAAUGACUAUCGGCGCGAGAGGUACGGUAGUUAAAUGUACAGCUUUCGUCCUUUGG
This 792-nucleotide small RNA is filed under the name Cryptococcus neoformans H99. Its description in RNAcentral is "Cryptococcus neoformans var. grubii H99 hypothetical RNA". Lineage: Eukaryota; Fungi; Basidiomycota; Tremellomycetes; Tremellales; Cryptococcaceae. The record is from RNAcentral.